UACGUAGGGUGCGAGCGUUAAUCGGAAUUACUGGGCGUAAAGUGUGCGCAGGCGGCUUCGCAAGUCGAGUGUGAAAUCCCCGAGCUUAACUUGGGAAUUGCGCUCGAAACUACGUGGCUGGAGUGUGGCAGAGGAAGGUGGAAUUCCACGUGUAGCGGUGAAAUGCGUAGAGAUGUGGAGGAACACCAAUGGCGAAGGCAGCCUUCUGGGCCAACACUGACGCUCAUGCACGAAAGCGUGGGGAGCAAACAGG
This 253-nucleotide ribosomal RNA is filed under the name uncultured bacterium. RNAcentral's name for it is "partial 16S ribosomal RNA". It matches the Rfam family "Bacterial small subunit ribosomal RNA", at positions 524 to 776 of the family's 1533-position model. The record is from RNAcentral.